RNAcentral lists this transfer RNA (76 nucleotides) under Bacteriovorax sp. Seq25_V. RNAcentral's name for it is "tRNA-His". It matches the Rfam family "tRNA". Rfam says of the family: Transfer RNA (tRNA) molecules are approximately 80 nucleotides in length. Their secondary structure includes four short double-helical elements and three loops (D, anti-codon, and T loops). Further hydrogen bonds mediate the characteristic L-shaped molecular structure. tRNAs have two regions of fundamental functional importance: the anti-codon, which is responsible for specific mRNA codon recognition, and the 3' end, to which the tRNAs corresponding amino acid is attached (by aminoacyl-tRNA synthetases). tRNAs cope with the degeneracy of the genetic code in two manners: having more than one tRNA (with a specific anti-codon) for a particular amino acid; and 'wobble' base-pairing, i.e. permitting non-standard base-pairing at the 3rd anti-codon position. Lineage: Bacteria; Pseudomonadati; Bdellovibrionota; Bacteriovoracia; Bacteriovoracales; Bacteriovoracaceae. RNAcentral also lists the same sequence under 2 other names. The record is from RNAcentral.
GUGGCCGUAGUUCAGUCGGUAGAGCGCCAGAUUGUGAUUCUGGUUGUCGUGGGUUCAAGUCCCAUCGGCCACCCCA